CAUGUGAAGGUUUCCUCAGAUUAGAAAGAACGGCAGCGUGUGUAUUAAACAGUCACUUCAACCGGACUGAUAAUUCAGAAAACUCAACGAUAUGAUCGUCAUCUUCUGCUUAAUGUUCAACAUGAUUCACGUUUUAGGCUCUUCCCUCAGCGAUCGGGUCCAUCAGACUCCGGCUGAUUUGUUCCACGAGCCCGGAGGAAACGCCGUCAUCAGCUGCACACACAGCAUCGACAACUACGAUGUAAUCCUCUGGUACAAACACUCGACGAGCAGCCAGAUGCAGCUCCUGGGAUACAACGAUGCCGUAAACGGAUACCCAGAGCCGGGGUUAAAGGUGAAAAUCAGUGGCAGCGCAAGCAAAGACAAGAUCAGCACUCUGACGGUGGAGGAUCUGAGCGAGAGCAGCAGCGCCAUUUAUUUCUGCGCCGCUAAAUACCACAGUGCUUCAUGUUAAUGUUCCCCAGCACAAAAACCUCGAGUUUAAUCUUUUUGAUGUCGUAUCUAUUUUGCAGCCGUGCUGCUUCCUUUCAUGAGGCGGCGGUGUGUCGUCACAGACUGCCUCAGCGCUGAGGAGAAACUGAAGCUCCUCCUUCUUCAUGAUGAUUUGAUAAAACACAAAUAAUCAGUCCACUCAGAUACACUGACAGCACCUAUCAGCCUAUGUAACAGAGGGAGACUGUUCUUAGUUUGAGCAUUUAUCUGAUUCUGUUUCCAGGCGACGCUACAAUCAGUCCAGGUUCGUCUGGCCAGCAGGUCCGUCAGACUCCAGCUGAGAUCAGCUGUCUGAAAUUAUUUGACGUUCUAUCAGACGUAUUAUCUAUUGAGAUUACUGUCCAUCGAGUAAUAUAUAAAUAUUUUGGCCAGUCUGUUAUCAUCUGUACAUAAACUGUAAAAGUGCGUUUAUACAAAUACUGUUACAUGUGUGCAAGAUCAGUGUGUCUGUACGUUCCAAUUAGAUUUCCAGUCUAGAACCACAAAUCCUCACACACUCUGUCUAACAGGCCAAUUUAACUCCAUUCACAAAAAACAAAAAAUGCUCUUAGCAUACGUUUAUUCCUUAUUUCUGCAGAUUUUUAUUCUAAUUAUUAUUUUUUGCCGUUUUUAACUUUAAAACAUCAAGUUAAUAAGCUUCACUGUGAGUCAUUAUUUUUGUCCACUAGGAGGCAGUGUUUCCUAUCACAUCUAGUAUAAAGAGUUCAUAACAGGUUAUAGUUUACAGCUACAUUUAACCCGAAUUUUUAACACUAAAUGUUAUUUUUAGGAUAAUAUUUACUCUUUAAGAAUUGACAGAAUGUCCUUCACCUCUAAAGAUGAGUCUUUUUUUUUAAUCACCGGUGUAAUAUUUUGUGCUAAGAAGUGGAGCUUCAGUGACUCCACCCACCUGGAUUACUUCAUAUGCAGCCAUAGCAACAAAACCGAAGACAAUCUGACUGGAGCAAAAUGAUCCUCUUCAUCCUCUGCUGCGUAAGCCUACAUAUCACACUUGUUUCUGGUUCCUCUCCAAGUGACCAAAUCGUCCAGAUUCCAGCUGACAUGUUCAAAAGCCCUGGAGAAACGGCCAAGAUCAGCUGCAGUCACAGUAUCCCAGACUACGAUCGCGUCCUCUGGUACAAACAGUCGAAGCUUCAUGGGAUGAAGCUCCUGGGAUACAUGCUGGGAGACAACGGAUAUCCAGAGAAGGAGCUCAACGUGAACAUAGACGGGAGCGCGAACAGAGACAAAAACAGCACUUUAACCGUCACAGAGCUCAGCCCAGACAGCAGUGCAGUUUACUACUGUGCUGCUCGCUACCACAGUGCUGCAUAUCACUGCUGCUCAGCGCAAAAACCUCCUCACAGGUGCAGCUGGGUUAGCUCUGGGGUCCUGAUAGUUUUAGGCUUCUCAUUAUAGUUUACGUUUAUUUUUGUUGGGACUCUUUGUUCGUCUGAUUCAGUUAGUUUUAGAGUGUGUUAACCUGUUUUUACGAGCUACUAUUGGUUAAAAAUGGGUAAGUUUCAGUUUAGUUUUUACCAAUCACAGUAGUAGUUUUAGUUUUUUCAUACUUUGGUUAUUUUUUUAGGUGAUUUAGAAAAGCACUGUAUUGUCAUUGCAUGUACAUUGAUUGGGUAAUGAAUGGUCAACAGACGAUACAAUAAAAAUCAAUUAUUGUUGA
Molecule: non-coding RNA, 2152 nt
Organism: Xiphophorus hellerii (green swordtail)
Lineage: Eukaryota; Metazoa; Chordata; Actinopteri; Cyprinodontiformes; Poeciliidae
Source: the annotation of a RefSeq genome assembly